This 96-nucleotide small RNA is filed under the name Marmota monax (woodchuck). The record is from RNAcentral. Lineage: Eukaryota; Metazoa; Chordata; Mammalia; Rodentia; Sciuridae.
GUCAGGUGUGGUGGUGCACACCUGUAAUCCCAGCUGCUUGGGAGGCUGAGGCAAGUUCAAGGCCAGCCUGAGCAACUUAGUGAGACUCUGUCUCAA